Molecule: non-coding RNA, 58 nt
Filed under: unclassified sequences
Source: RNAcentral
ACCUUAAUGCGGCUCAUCUUGAAUGAACGGUCACAAGCCCGAUAACGCAGAGUGAGGA